UUACUGACGAAAUGCGCGUGACAAUCACAUGCGAUAUAUGGCCCACCUAGGUAAGUAGUCCUUAAGGUAAGCAUAACAGGAAGUAUGUCUUAACGAGACCAGACAGUGACUGAGUGCUCUGAAGUGUCUUUUAUGCUGCGGUGGUGAUGAGUGCUGAUGAGUGUCAGGUGUUGCUGGUUAAUACUCAGGAGAGGGAGUGCGAUGUGAAGAGCCUGGCGUGUCUGUGACAAGUGGCCACUGGACCGCACGUCAACGGGACCACCAUAUUGUGCAGGGCAACGUUCCCUUAGCGCUCAUUACUGGAAUUGAGAAAAAUGCCUUUGUGUACUGCUUGGGGCUGUACAAAUCGCUGCACAAUUGAAUACAGGUCUAGGGGAAUGACCUUUUACAGCCCAUUGCAACCAGGGCUAGACAAGCCUCCAGGAAAGCUUAGGAGAGCCUGUCAGUUCUCACCAUUUCCAAGAGACUGAUCCUCCUCUGCCUAAUGCUGGGGAUGGAAUAACAAUCCUACUGCAGGCCAGUUUCAGGGCAUUUUCCAUUUUCAUGGUCAAGGUGUGGUGUCUCCCCAAGCACUUCAGGGAACGUGACACCACAGGAUGAGACUGUGUCGCUAUCAGCUGUUGAAAAGCCUCCAUCCCCUUUUCUGCACUUGUGUGUGACCACAGCUACCUGCCAAACUACUUUGGCAGCAUAGUGGACAAUGCCCUUGUGGACAUUUCUGGUUUUGUGGUGCGUCAGAUUUUGAGAAAGCUUCCCUGUGGUGUGUGUCGUGCUGGCUGGGUGGCAGGUGCUGUAACCUGCUUCAUUUGACCAGAACUACCACUAACUUACUCUGAAAAACAGUGGAGGGCUGAUGAUUCCUUCUGAAGGUACAGUAAAAGUGGUCAGAUCAGCACAGCAGUUCAUUCGACAGUCAUCCUCCGGGAAAGCCGUCAGAGUGUCUUUGAUCAGUCAGUUUGUCUGAGCUGAGAUUGGUUCAGAGGAUGUGUUUUUCCUCAAGGAGCACCUUCAGGAAACACAAUUUGGAAUUGACAACCAUCAUUUUUCUCUCUUGUCAUUAGUUGUGUCUGUCUUUCACAAACUAAGGAUGCACCACAUUACCAAACUGAACAAACUACCGAGUGGCAACUCAAGACAAAGCUCUAACUCCCCCUGACCCUACAAAGGAUUAGCGAUUUUAGACGAUUGAUGGAAAAUGUAUAGCCUUUUGUUGUUAUUAUUAUACCAAUACUAUAUUAUUAUUGUAUAUAUUAUUCUGCAAUUGAUAUUACAUUGUAUUUGCGAUUAUUAUUAUUAUACCAAUACUUGAGAUUGUCAAUAUAUUAUAGUUAUAAUGUAAUAUUAUUGUCUAUAUUCUGUAAAUGAUACUACGUAUUCUAUUACUAUUAUAUAGUAUUAUUCAACUAUAUGCUAUUAUCAAUA
Molecule: long non-coding RNA, 1422 nt
Organism: Megalobrama amblycephala (Wuchang bream)
Lineage: Eukaryota; Metazoa; Chordata; Actinopteri; Cypriniformes; Xenocyprididae
Exons: 3
Source: RefSeq, a predicted model, not a curated record